Molecule: small RNA, 329 nt
Filed under: Arabidopsis thaliana (thale cress)
Lineage: Eukaryota; Viridiplantae; Streptophyta; Magnoliopsida; Brassicales; Brassicaceae
Description: ATSL080710
Source: RNAcentral
GUUUGUACUAAGUUAAACCGUUCUGACUUCUCGUAGUGAUAUAUUCAACGGAAUAUUGUGGUUAGUGCGAACUCAUCCGUCAGUAGUCCAAUCCAUACUAUUUUUGGGAUGGACAAUAAAGCGAUGCAGACUUAGUUUAAAGACCGUCUGCAGUUAGUCCGCAACAGUUUUCUUUUAUUUUUGGGGGUCCGCAUCAUUACGGACUAUAAUUUGUGAAUGAUAAAUAAAAAGCGAUCCAAUGUAUAGACGCUUUUGUCCGCUUAGACAACUGUAAACAUUGAUAUAUUCUCUAACUUGUCAGUAGUUUAUUCUCUAAAGCCUACAUUAAU